This 8459-nucleotide long non-coding RNA is filed under the name Coffea arabica (coffee). RNAcentral's name for it is "long non-coding RNA (CARA_LNC003202)". The record is from RNAcentral. Lineage: Eukaryota; Viridiplantae; Streptophyta; Magnoliopsida; Gentianales; Rubiaceae.
UUUCUUUCCGUCUGGGGUUAAUUUUCAGACAUAGUAAGCUCGUGAAGAGUUGUUGUUGUUGUACUUUUUAUUUAAAUUCUCUAACCCCAUCCCAUAAUAAGCAAAGAAGAAACAGAGAUGAAAAGAAAAGUAAAGGCAAAGCUAGAAAAAAAAGGAAAGUCGAAGGAGAAAGGAGGAAUUGUUAUUUGUUGACCGGAGUCUGCCACCGCUGCUGUCAUACCGAAUUUCUUUAGUAGAAAAGCAUGGUGAAGUUUCCUUGUCAACUUUUUCUUUGGUGGUUACCAACAUUUAAUUCAAAUUUUAUGCUCCAAUUUAAAAUGCUUUUCAUGAUCUUAUUUUCUUGUUUGUGAGUUUAGUGGGUAAUAAUGCUGGAAUAUUUGUUGUUUUCUCUCUAAUUUCUUUGUUGUUGAAACAUUAGUUGGAAGUUCGGGUAAGCUUGAAAGGAGCAAGUUCUAUUUUGCCUAAUGCCCAAAACCUAUUUGUAAAAAUAGCAAAGCAAAAUCUUCAACUAAAUAUAUGUAUUUGUAAUAUUGUCAGACCACCAUUUGUUGAGUACUUAAAGAAUGAAAAUAUACUAAGGGUAGGAAUAACAAGUAGAGCAAAGAGAAAUCGCAUAUUGUAUUAGUCAAACCAAUUCCAUUGAUGAAAAAUGAUAGCUAAAGGGUACAUGCAAGACAUCAAAACUUUAUAAGUUGUUGAACUUUCCUAUUAUGUGACCCUGGGUAAUAGCUGAAAGUUCCAUUUAUUUGUUGUAAGUGGCAAUUGAUAAUUAAGAUAUCUUAGGUGUGGUAUGCUUCAUCCACUUUUUUAAUCAAUUGUAUGAUAGCUUUUAUAAUGAUGAACAGACUCAUUUAAUUUGAAGUGGGAAGAUCUAUCUCGUGGAAGAAACAACUAGAAAAGAUGUUAAAUUUCUCUGAGAUAUAGUAGGCUUGUAUAAGUUAUGGUAGUCCCAUCAGCACCAUCUCCGGUGGAGAGUAGAGAGCAUAGGAAACAGCUGGGUUUAGCAAAAUUUUGCUGGUUGAGUGUGCAUGUUGCAACUAAUUUUCUGAUUCAAACUGAAUGUAGUCUAGAAAAUUGUCCUUUGGAAUUGUUUAUUAAUGUGACAGUUUUGGAUGUCUUUUCUAUCUUUGGGAGUUGUUUUUGUUGGAGAGCUUAGGAAGUUUCCUCUAUUAGUUAUUGUAUGAAAUAACUUGAUCUUCUUCUGUUAAGAUCCUCAUUUUUGUGCAUGAGAGGGUACAAAUCUAUCUAUAAAUCCUGAAGUAUGUGAGUUCCUGUUGGGUUAUUAUGCUUGUAGUAGUACAGCUGAAUACUACUAUAGGCAGUUGAGAACUAGUAGGAGGUAUUUCACUCUUGUUUUAUCACAUCUUACUUUUUAAGUAUAGCUACUCUUUCCACACGGUUAGUCCAUUUUCUAUAACAAAAUUAUACCAUUGGUGGAGAGAAAUUGUCUCUUCCGAGCAUAUGUUGAUCCAAUUACAGGAUAUUCUAAUAACAUUCUGAACGUGUAUGUUGGAUUUCUAUGAAAUUAUAAUUAUUUCUGUAAUCCCCGAACUCCAUUGUUCUUGUUAUUUCUUCAAUUGAAGUUGGAUUUCUAUGAAAUUGAAUCAUUUUCAAGGGAGGUAAAAUUGAAAAGUAAGGUUUCUUCCAUCAUCUAUGUGGAAGCUUAUUGAAAAUCCUCCCAAAAAAGAUGAGAUUAUUUCUGUUUAUUUGGACGAGCGUUGUGAGUUCAACGAGAUUUCCAUUGAUUUGCUAUUGGUAGAAUUUUUUUCACCUCAAUCCUCUUGUUUUAACUUGGCUUUCUUGAUUCCUGAUAAGGAAUGAAAUUAUUUUUCUUUAGGAUAGUUGCACCAGAUGUCAUUUUUCUCAUUCCUGAAUAUUUUCUAGCAAUUUGUGAAUAUGAUCUUUGAUUUGAUUGAGAAAUAGAUAAUAUGUUGGAGUAAUUAUUCAACUGUUUGAUUUGAAACUGUUAAAGAACAUAUUUUGAUAGCACUUUUAUGCAACUUCAAUGUGUAAUUUUGUCUUAUUUUGUACUUUAGCUUCAACUUAAUAUAUAUAUAUAUAUAUAUAUAUAUAUAUAUAUAUGUAUGUAUUACAAUCAAGACAUGAGCGAGAACAUGAUAGAAAAUCAAUUAACAGUUAAUGAACAAAAACAUGGCUAAUUGCCUCCUUAUAUAACUGUUUGUAUAAUGAAGAAAACUGUUAAUGUAUGGUAAAUUUGCACUCCAAUAUUUUUACCUCAACUCAUUCUUUUUUAACUUGGUUUCAUUGGUUCUCAAUGAGGAAUGAAAUUGUUCUCCAUUGGGAUAGUUUCACCAGAUGUCAUUUCUCUCAUUCCUGAAUAUUUUCUAAUGGAUGUAAAUGUAAUCUUUGAUUUUAUUGGGAAAUAGCUAAUAUGUUGGAGCUAUCCAACUGUGAAUAUUUGAAAUCAUUAAGGAAUAGAUUCUGAGAGCACUUUUAUGGAACUUCAGUAUCUACCUUUGUCCUAUUUAGUGAUUUAGCUUCAUUUUAGGAUCUAUAUGAGUUGCAUGCAAGGCAUGAGUGAGAACACGAUACAAUAUUGAAAAGUUAAUGAGCAAAAACUUGACUAAUUGCUUGCUUAGAUAGGUAACUAUUUUCUAUAAUGAAGAAAACUAUUUAUGUAUGUUAAAUUUGCACUUAGAUAACUAGCUACGUGCAUUUGUUUAGCUAUAUGGAUGGUGAAUGGAGAUCUUAGAUUGGGAUUAUUUUGACUACGUAUGUCAUUAUUUGAAUUUGGAAUGGCUUUGUGGAAUUCUUUCUUAAAUUGGGUUUUUUUCUUUUUUUUAUGUCAUUAGUUUGUUUGUUUUUGGUAGCAUUUAGAGUAAUUGCAAGCCAUGAACAUAUGAAGAAUGAAAUUGCAUCUUUUAAUGACUCAAAAGUCAAUACCAUUUCAAUAGGAUCUUAUUGCCUCUUGAGAGUGACAAAUAGACGCUGAAAUACUGAAACUAUUGAUAUAUUCAUAAACAAUUUGAGAAAUUACUGUUAGAAUUGGUAGUCUUAAUAUAGAAGAAGUGGUGUGGCUGACAAUGGGCAAUUACCUACUCCACUGAUAUUGCCCUCUGAGCAAAUUUACUACUAAUUCUUUACAUUUUGUAAGACCACAUGUUUGUUUCCCCAAUCCUGUUUCAUUGUUGAAACAUAAUUCUAGAUUGACUAGAUCAAAACUCAAAUUGAGAAAAUACUGUUAGAAUUGGUAGUCUUAAUAUAGAAGAAGUGGUGUGGUUGAGAGUAGGCAAUUACCUCCUCUGCUGAUAUUGCCCUCUGAACAAAUUUACUACUAAUUCUUUACAUUUUGUAACACCACAUGUUACUCCAGUCCUGUUUCAUUGUUGAAACAUAACUCUAGAUUGACUCGAUUAAAACUCAUUGACCAUGGUAGGACAAGUCACUAUCUGUGUGCAUUCACAAUGGCCGAGUUCAUGACUUUCUUUAGUGUCAUUGACCAAUGUUGUAUAGCUUUUGAGUGUGUGUUUGCCCGUUCCAAAAUCCAAUAAUGUUGUAGAAAGUAGAAAGUUUCUAGGAAGUUUAUCAUAUCGAAUGAGAUAGAGCCUUGACUAUUUCCACAUAGAAGCUAUAAUUUUUGUUCAUCGCCAUGCUGGCUACUUUUUCUUUUCCUUCUAGACCAUGUGAGUAAUUGAUGUAUAGUUGGCUUUGAGAGGUUGUACUGUAUGACUUAACGUUUUUUUCCACCUUUGGCCUCAUGUUUUAAUCUUAUUCUAAUUGGGGAUGACAGGAUCAUUAAUCAGAUUACUUAUUCCAUUUGCACCUAGGAAUAGAGAAUUUAUUCUUUUUUCAUUUCCUUUUUUUCUUAUAUUUAGGAGUUCUAAGCAUAAGUAUAAAUUUGGGUGAGGUAACUUUGAUAGGGAAGUAUGAGUAGGACAAAGCAUAGAAAACAAGGGAUCAAAGGACACAUUAGGGUGAAAAGCAAACAAGGUACAACUGCAGGUUUGCAUUUUUGUUCUAUUGUUAGUAAUUUUCUUGCUCAAGCAAAACACAAUUAUGUGAACAGAGUCUGCUAAGUUUUUUUUUUUUGGUGGUUGAGUUUACAUCAUCUUGGAAAUUAAAACUACAUAAACUCAUAUAGACCUUGGACUUGGAGCUCUGGUAAUUGUGUAUUUGACCUUAGGAAUUCGAUAGGUAUCUGAACAAAGAGGCAAAAUAAUUGGUUAUAUGCUAUCACUUAGUUAAUUGAUAUCCUCAAAAUUGAUUAUUUUGUAACCUUUUCUUUGAAUGACUUCUUUCUUCCUUUUGAUUCCGGCUGAUCACUUUUAACUAGUCUUCUUUUUGGUUAAUGUUCUAACAAGCAAUACCUAAGUUUGUCCUACCUCCUUUUUGUAUAAUUAUUGAGCUUAGGAGUCUUCUGAUGUGCAUAACAGGUGAAGGAGAAUAUGAGGUAGAAGCAGAUGUAGUUUCUAAAACUGCCAGUGACAAUCAAGAUUUAGUAGUCUAGGUUUGACCACAAGGGAGAUAAAUAGUGGCUAGCUCAUGUAGGAUCAAUUUCGUGUUGAUUAAGUUUUUACCGCCAUACAUUGUGAAAAUGAGAUGACAUUUUGUUCUUCUCAGUAAGACUAUUUAGUACUUCAAGGAUCUGAUUACUAAUGUCGAUUGAACUUAGAAGAGGUGAUUGAGGAGAUGAACAAUGCCAUAAUCACUAAUUAGUAAUUUUAGUUUCAAAUACUCGAUAGUUAUCAAGUACUUUUAUAACAUAGUUUAUGGCCGUAGUAGUGCUGAUAGAACUCUCUAUGAUUUGAUUUUGAUUAAAUAGGAUCUGGGCACCCUCGCCCAUUUUUUUUCCGAGUAACGAUAACAAUUGACUAGACCAAAGGGGUGCUUUGGCACCACUCUUGAAUUUUUUUCGCUGCAGGUGAGAUUUGAACUCCCACCUAUAAUCCAAGAAGGGACUUAGGUGGCAUUUGGUUCACACCUUGGAAUCAGAUUUGGAUUCGGGAUCAUUCAUUCUGGAUUUGGAAUGAGAUGAAUCAUUCCAAUAUAUUGUGCUUGGUACAAAAUCCAUUGGAAUGGGACUCAAAAUUAAUUUUUUGUUUUCCUUGAGCACUUUUUUGGUUUUUCAUUCUCCAAUCACCAAUCAACAGCAUAAACUCCCAAAUAGAAGAUUUGGCAAGUUCGUCUUUACCUUUCUCCUUGCCAAUAGUUGGCACUUGGAACAUAAGAGUAGAAAAAUCCAAAAAUUAUCCUAGGAACCAAAUAGCAAUUUCCGUCCUCCAUCGAGAUUCAAUCUCCAGCAGCCCCAAUAUUGUCCACCUAGUGCCACAACUCAUUGUUGCUAUGAGCCAUCACUUUGAUUUCACAAGGAGAAGGAAGAAGUCAAUUGGGGUAAGGAUUGGGGAUGACUUGACAGUGAGUGAGGAGAAGUGGUGUCUUGAAGGGAAGACUGGUCAAUAUUAAAGGUGGAUGGAGGACGAGAAAUCUGAGGGAGAAGGGGCCUACUAGAGUUGAGAAGAGAGGGGAAUUUUUGGAGGAGAGAAGGAAUGGGCUUACUGGGGGUGAAGGGGGGGAGGUUUUGCCUUCCAUGGAAGAGAGAGGCGGGGGAAGAGAGGAAAGGGAGGAGGAAGGAGACAGUCAGAGAUGAGAGAAGGGAAGGUGAUCGAUCAAAAACAAGGUUUAAUAAAACUUAUUUUGGAAUCAGAUAGAGGAUUUGACAAAACCUCCCAACUUGCUCGGGAUUGAAAGUUACCAAGUUUUUAGAAAUCAUUUCAAAAUUUCAAACCCCAUACCUAUUUGCCAAACAUAAAAAUUGGACAUGAUUCCAAAUCUUAAUUUUCAUACCCUUAAACCAAACGCCACCUUAAAUCUCUUUUUUAUGGCCACUAAACCAAGUUCAGUGGUUCACCCUCGCUUAUUGAGCGAGUGUGAGAGCCCGUAAUUUUUCCAUUUUAGGGUUUUAUUAUAUUCAAUGGCUUGUUUUCUGCACUUUCUGUAUCCGGAAAAUUUUCUAGAUAAUUUUUAUGAGCAGAUAUAGUUUUUAGAUGAUUUUUCUAGUAUCGAAUAGGUUUUGAGAAAUUAAGAGCGUAUACCGGACGUGGGACCACUAGUGUGAAAAGUUCGGAAAAAUUCGGCCAACUAGGUUAAGUUUUGGAUACUGGAAUUAAUUUAUCGGGUGUUAAGAAAUAAUUAGAGGAUACUAAGUGGAUUGGUAUAAGAGAGACAAUUUAGGUAAGCAUUUAAUAAAAAGGUGACAAGUGUCACCAUGUGAUUGCUUCUUACAAUAAGACUACUAUUCACCUUUUCUAUUUGACCAAAUAAAGCACAAAAUUAACCAAAAUUUCUCCAUUUUCUCUCCUCUAGUGGCCGGCCCUCUCUCUCAAAAAGAAAGAAAGAAACUCUUCAAGUUUUGCUUCCAUUUAGCUCAAAACCAUCCAACCAACCAUUGAAACUUGAAAUUUCUCCAUAAAACCUCUUCAAUUAGUGUUAAGGAGUUGAUUUGUGGAGUUAUUUGGAAAGCUAAGAGGACCUAUUGCUCCCUCUCUCUUGUUUCUAAGGUGAGUUGAGAAGAACCAUUCUCCUCCCUCUAAUGAUGCUUAAUUUGUGAUUUGUGGUAGUAUAAGGUGCGAUAUUAUGGAUUACAUCUUGAUUUGUGGUUGAAUUAGUGAAGUUUUCUAUUUAUUGGUGAUUUUUCUGUUUUAAUAUGAACAUGAUUGUGUGGCUAUCUAUGAUGAUUGGAAAUGGUAUAUAAUGACUGUAGGAGGUGGAAAAAGUGGGUAAUUACAAUCAAUUUCUGUUUGGAAGAAAAAUUGACAAGUUAGGGUUUUUAUGAAUAACAUUCUGCCCGGUUUUAUAUCUCCUAGUUAGAGGCCGAAUUGGCCUUGGCUUAAAACAUGAAAGUUGUAGGGAAUGACAUUUUAGAGGUGUCUACAAAAUUUCAGGUCAAUCGGAAUAGCGUAGAAUGAAAAAAGUCGAAAUUACCCUUGCUGUCCUGGUUUUACCCGAAUGUAAGAAUUGCGCCUGUAAUUGGGUGUUUUGGCUGGAAUUUCUUCGGAAUUUGUUGUUGAGACCUUCUGAUGAAAUGUAGCCCUAUUUCUUAGCUUUCAGUUGGUUUUGGAAUUUCAGGAUUUGGACUUGGAUAGCCUGAUUUAUGAUGUUUCCGCUAGAAUACGUUCUGUGAAUCUGUUUUACGGUUUUUGUGUAGUAUCUUGCAUUUUUUACAUGGUUGCACUCAAAAUUGGGUUGAGUGACCUUCUGUAAUGUUGUAGCCCUGUCUUUUAGCUUCGAAAUGGUGUAUUGUACACCUUUAUCCGGUAAUCGUAGUGCCUUGGGUGCCAUUACCGCAAAAAGAGGUCAAAAACUAUUUUUUUCAGGGCAAAGCUAAAUCCAUUUCCGGAUUUUCUGGUUUCCCCUACUGCUUGUAUAUGCUUAUGGAACCCUAUUGGGGUCGUGUUUGGCAUUGAUUUAUGACUCGUUAUCGAGUCUCAUUGUACUUGUUUGCAUGUUUUAGGGCGUGACGGUGGUUCACGACGUUCUUUUGACGGAAGUGCAUGAAACACCAUUUGCAAGCUUGGUGAGUGUACUACUCACUUGUGUGUUACUAUAUAGCUUUGAUACUUGAACUUGAUGAGUUGAAUGUUCAUUGAUUGAAGUGAGAGCGUACUUUAUCACUCUCACUUAUUGUUUAUCAUGUUACAUGAAAUGUUACAUGAAAUGAGAGCGUACUUUAUCACUCUCACUUAUUGUUUAUCAUGUUAUUGGAAUGUUACAUGAAAUGAAAAUACUUGACUUGGUGUCGAUUGGACGAGUAUCCAACGACUACAAUUGUUAUCAUUGAAUUCAACCCCAUUGGUAGUUGAUUGAAUCGAGCCAGCGAGGGCUUGGUCGUGCCAAUUAAUGAUCCUUGGGAAAAAGUUAUAAGGAAUCUUGUAGUAUGAGAGACUCUCGAUUCCGGUAUACUCGAGUAAUACCACAGUGCAAGUGUUUGGAAUUCGGGUCCGGUAGGGGGAUGUUAGGUGGAUGGAAUGGAAGUAAAGUGGAGUCUACGGUUGGUUACUUUCGAACAUUGACGGAGAGUCAAUGAGAUCCAAUCAAGAAUGCAAACGAGGAAAAAGGGCUCUUGAGAGCCACCCGUAUCCUUUUAUCCUCAUUAUUGACGUGUGCCUUGGCUUACUUUUGAUGAAUUGAAAUGAAAAACUUUAUGUCUAUGUGAACUCUGUUGCUUGGGUAGUAUUCUCAUUGGGCAAUUAGCUCACUCUAUUCCUUUUGUUUUCCUUACAGGAAAAUAACUACUUUUGGACUGCAAUUGAUAAUUGAUUGCCGAAAUGAGCUAGUUGGACAUAUCUUUUGUAUAGCUCAUUUAUUGAAACCCUAAAUGUACUUUUGGGUCUGUUUCUCUUUUGAUUUGGCAAACCAUAUAUGUAUCCACUUUUGAAUACUUUUGUAUGCAAUUUUGGAUUGUAAAUACUAAAGUUCAAGAUGUGAACGUUUGCUUGGUA